ACGGAAGGCAGCAGUGGGGAAUAUUGCACAAUGGGGGAAACCCUGAUGCAGCGACGCCGCGUGAGUGAAGAAGUUAUUCGUAAUGUAAAGCUCUAUCAGCAGGGAAGAAAAUGACGGUACCUGACUAAGAAGCCCCGGCUAACUACGUGCCAGCAGCCGCGGUAAUACGUAGGGGGCAAGCGUUAUCCGGAUUUACUGGGUGUAAAGGGUGCGUAGACGGCUUAGCAAGUCUGAUGUGAAAGGCAGGGGCUCAACUCCUGGACUGCAUUGGAAACUGUUAAGCUGGAGUGCCGGAGAGGUAAGCGGAAUUCCUAGUGUAGCGGUGAAAUGCGUAGAUAUUAGGAGGAACACCAGUGGCGAAGGCGGCUUACUGGACGGUAACUGACGUUGAGGCUCGAAAGCGUGGGGAGCAAACAGGAUUAGAUACCCUGGUA
Molecule: ribosomal RNA, 434 nt
Filed under: uncultured Lachnospiraceae bacterium
Lineage: Bacteria; Bacillati; Bacillota; Clostridia; Lachnospirales; Lachnospiraceae
Description: partial 16S ribosomal RNA
Rfam family: Bacterial small subunit ribosomal RNA
Source: RNAcentral